RNAcentral lists this ribosomal RNA (543 nucleotides) under uncultured Escherichia sp. RNAcentral describes it as "bacterial SSU rRNA". It matches the Rfam family "Bacterial small subunit ribosomal RNA", at positions 28 to 560 of the family's 1533-position model. Lineage: Bacteria; Pseudomonadati; Pseudomonadota; Gammaproteobacteria; Enterobacterales; Enterobacteriaceae. The record is from RNAcentral.
AUUGAACGCUGGCGGCAGGCCUAACACAUGCAAGUCGAACGGUAACAGGAAGCAGCUUGCUGUUUCGCUGACGAGUGGCGGACGGGUGAGUAAUGUCUGGGAAACUGCCUGAUGGAGGGGGAUAACUACUGGAAACGGUAGCUAAUACCGCAUAAUGUCGCAAGACCAAAGAGGGGGACCUUCGGGCCUCUUGCCAUCGGAUGUGCCCAGAUGGGAUUAGCUUGUUGGUGGGGUAACGGCUCACCAAGGCGACGAUCCCUAGCUGGUCUGAGAGGAUGACCAGCCACACUGGAACUGAGACACGGUCCAGACUCCUACGGGAGGCAGCAGUGGGGAAUAUUGCACAAUGGGCGCAAGCCUGAUGCAGCCAUGCCGCGUGUAUGAAGAAGGCCUUCGGGUUGUAAAGUACUUUCAGCGGGGAGGAAGGGAGUAAAGUUAAUACCUUUGCUCAUUGACGUUACCCGCAGAAGAAGCACCGGCUAACUCCGUGCCAGCAGCCGCGGUAAUACGGAGGGUGCAAGCGUUAAUCGGAAUUACUGGGCG